This 460-nucleotide ribosomal RNA is filed under the name uncultured bacterium. RNAcentral's name for it is "partial 16S ribosomal RNA". It matches the Rfam family "Bacterial small subunit ribosomal RNA", at positions 338 to 795 of the family's 1533-position model. The record is from RNAcentral.
CCUACGGGCGGCUGCAGUGAGGAAUAUUGGUCAAUGGGCGCGAGCCUGAACCAGCCAAGUAGCGUGAAGGAUGACUGCCCUACGGGUUGUAACCUUCUUUUAUAAAGGAAUAAAGUGAGGCACGUGUGCCUUUUUGUAUGUACUUUAUGAUUAAGGAUCGGCUAACUCCGUGCUGGCAGCCGCGGUAAUACGGAGGAUCCGAGCGUUAUCCGGAUGUCUUGGGUUUAAAGGGAGCGUAGAUGGGUUGUUAUGUCAGUUGUGAAAGUUUGCGGCUCAACCGUAAAAUUGCAAUUGAUACUGGCAGCCUUGAGGACAGUUGAGGUAGGCGGAAUUCGUGGUGUAGCGGUGAAAUGCUUAGAUAUCACGAAGAACUCCGAUUGCGAAGGCAGCUUACUAAACUGCCACUGACAUUGAUGCUCGAAAGUGUGGGUAUCAAACAGGAUUAGAUACCCCAGUAGUC